UCCACGCCGUAAACGAUGCACACUAGUUGUUGGGAUGCUAGACAUCCCAGUAACGCAGUUAACACAUUAAGUGUGCCGCCUGGGGAGUACGGUCGCAAGAUUAAAACUCAAAGGAAUAGACGGGGACCCGCACAAGCGGUGGAGCAUGUGGUUUAAUUCGACGAUACGCGAAGAACCUUACCUGGUCUUGACAUAGUAAGAAUCUUUUAGAGAUAGAAGAGUGCUGCUUGCAG
This 233-nucleotide ribosomal RNA is filed under the name uncultured bacterium. RNAcentral's name for it is "partial 16S ribosomal RNA". It matches the Rfam family "Bacterial small subunit ribosomal RNA", at positions 794 to 1025 of the family's 1533-position model. The record is from RNAcentral.